GGAUCCAGACUUUGAUUCUGGCUCAGGACGAACGCUGGCGGCGUGCUUAACACAUGCAAGUCGAACGAAGCUUGAUUACGGAAUUCUUCGGAAAGAAGUAUGAUAUGACUUAGUGGCGGACGGGUGAGUAACGCGUGAGUAACCUGCCUUUCAGAGGGGGACAACGUUUGGAAACGAACGCUAAUACCGCAUGAAAUAUAUUUAAGGCAUCUUAGAUAUAUCAAAGAUUUAUCGCUGAGAGAUGGACUCGCGUCUGAUUAGAUAGUUGGUGAGGUAACGGCUCACCAAGUCGACGAUCAGUAGCCGGACUGAGAGGUUGAACGGCCACAUUGGGACUGAGACACGGCCCAGACUCCUACGGGAGGCAGCAGUGGGGAAUAUUGCACAAUGGGCGCAAGCCUGAUGCAGCAACGCCGCGUGAGGGAAGACGGUCUUCGGAUUGUAAACCUUUGUCUUUGGUGAAGAAGAAAGUGACGGUAGCCAAGGAGGAAGCCACGGCUAACUACGUGCCAGCAGCCGCGGUAAUACGUAGGUGGCAAGCGUUGUCCGGAAUUACUGGGUGUAAAGGGAGCGCAGGCGGGACAGCAAGUUGGAUGUGAAAUACCGAGGCUUAACCACGGAGCUGCAUCCAAAACUGUUGUUCUUGAGUGAAGUAGAGGUAGGCGGAAUUCCGAGUGUAGCGGUGAAAUGCGUAGAUAUUCGGAGGAACACCAGUGGCGAAGGCGGCCUACUGGGCUUUAACUGACGCUGAGGCUCGAAAGUGUGGGGAGCAAACAGGGUUAGAUACCCUGGUAGUCCACACUGUAAACGAUGAUUGCUAGGUGUGGGGGGUCUGACCCCCUCCGUGCCGGAGUUAACGCAAUAAGCAAUCCACCUGGGGAGUACGGCCGCAAGGUUGCAACUCAAA
RNAcentral lists this ribosomal RNA (907 nucleotides) under uncultured Bacillota bacterium. RNAcentral's name for it is "bacterial SSU rRNA". It matches the Rfam family "Bacterial small subunit ribosomal RNA", at positions 1 to 905 of the family's 1533-position model. Lineage: Bacteria; Bacillati; Bacillota. The record is from RNAcentral.